This is a long non-coding RNA of Prosopis cineraria, 1110 nucleotides long. RefSeq lists it as uncharacterized. The transcript has 2 exons. NCBI's taxonomy places the organism in Eukaryota, Viridiplantae, Streptophyta, Magnoliopsida, Fabales, Fabaceae. The record is from RefSeq and is a predicted model, not a curated record.
AGGAUAUGAAAUUGAUUUGUUGUUGACAUUGUUAUUUGUCUCUUUAAUUACGAAUUAUCGUCAAUGACAUGAUCCUGCUGAAUUUAUGCUGUUGUUAAUUGGCUGUUCGCCGGUAUAAUUUCCUUUUGGGGAUAAAAUGAGGGAUGUCUGUUGGAUAGAGUUAAAUGCAAUGAAACAUCUGAGAGUAAGGAGUUGCCAGUAAUACCUGGCAAAUUUCACCACCACUAUGAUCUUCUUUGCCUCUGGUUGUUAGUGUCAUGGAACAUAUGAUAGAAAGGAAUGAUUGCACCUAUUGCUCUAUGAUGCUACAUAAAACCUUUCACCAGCUUGCUGUCAAUGAUCUCAAGCUUAAAUAUGCCCAAACCUAUGAAGAAGGCUUUCAGAGUGGUGUCAGUGGAGGCAAAGCAAGCAAGGAUUUGUUAUGAAGAUUCUUGCUGUGAAGGGAAGGACCAAGAGUGAGAGUUCCAAUUGGGUCCACUUGUUUGAUGGCAGACAAAGGCAAAAAAUGUUUCAAAGUGGCCAACAUUAAUGAGAAUGGAGGAAGCUCGUUGAGGAGUCAUGCUUCUUGAUGGGGUCAGACUGAAACCAUAACCAUCUCAGUUAGUUAUGCUAAGAUAAUGCUCAAUCUCUUGUAACAAUGGUUUUGUCUGUCUUAAGCUGGACAUGCACUGUUUAGCCCACGAUUUAGGCUGCCCAAACUUGCUUGAGAGUUGACAAAUUUCAAAUUUCAAUGUCCUUUAAGGAAAAUUCAAAUGUUGUUUAAUAAAUAAGCUUGGCUUUUCCUCAUCUUAGAACAUGGCCCUUACUGAUGAAUCUUGUUCAGGUCAUGGAUGAACUUGACAAUUGGAAUUAAAGCUUAUGAAGAGUAAAGGUCCAUUCUCAAGAAGCAAGAACAACGAGCAAAAACGUAGUUUUGUCUCGGGUGAUUUAAAAGUUAUACUUCACCUGAUUGUGUUGAAGGAAUUAAUCUCAUCAACAGGAACAACGACCACCAUAUUUUUCAAGAUGUUAUUCAACAUGCUUGUAAUAUUGUGAACAGAAACUGGUUUAUUUCAAUUGAUUUUGUGUACAGAGAUGUAAUUAGCACUGGGAUUAAUUCCUAUUUUUUCA